This 560-nucleotide ribosomal RNA is filed under the name Alexandrium tamarense. RNAcentral describes it as "partial Eukaryotic large subunit ribosomal RNA". It matches the Rfam family "Eukaryotic large subunit ribosomal RNA", at positions 626 to 1208 of the family's 3401-position model. Lineage: Eukaryota; Dinophyceae; Gonyaulacales; Pyrocystaceae. The record is from RNAcentral.
UUGGCGGAAUGGUUUCAAUCGGCCCGUCUAGGAACACGGACCAAGGAGUCUAACAUGUGUGCGAGUCGGUGGGUGACAAACCCACGAGGCGCAAGUAACCUGACUGAGCAAAUUCGACCGACCAUGAUCUUCUGUGAAAGGUUUGAGUGCGAGCAUACAUGCUGGGACCCGAAAGAUGGUGAACUAUGCCUGAGCAGGGCGAAGUCAGAGGAAACUCUGAUGGAGGCUCGUAGCGAUACUGACGUGCAAAUCGUUCGUCGGAUUUGGGUAUAGGGGCGAAAGACUAAUCGAACCAUCGAGUAGCUGGUUCCCUCCGAAAUUUCCCUUAGGAUAGCUGCAACUUGUACAGUUUUAUCAGGUAAAGCGAAUGAUUAGAGGAAUUGGGGACAGGUUUGUCCUUGACCUAUUCUCAAACUUUAAAUGGGUAAGAACCCCCUGUUGCUUAAUUGAACAGGGUGGUCGAAUAGCUGGUUGCUAGUGGGCCAAUCUGGGUAAGCUAGAUUGGCGAUGCGGGAUGAACCGAACGUCGAGAUAAAGUGCCAAAGUAUCCGCUAACCUAG